Molecule: ribosomal RNA, 292 nt
Filed under: uncultured bacterium
Lineage: Bacteria
Description: partial 16S ribosomal RNA
Rfam family: Bacterial small subunit ribosomal RNA
Source: RNAcentral
GUGCCAGCAGCCGCGGUAAUACGGAGGGUGCAAACGUUGCUCGGAAUCAUUGGGCGUAAAGCGCACGUAGGCGGCGGCGUAAGCGGGAUGUGAAAGCCCAGGGCUCAACCCUGGAAGUGCAUCCCGAACUGUGUCGCUUGAAUCUCGGAGGGGGACAGAGAAUUCCCGGUGUAGAGGUGAAAUUCGUAGAUAUCGGGAGGAAUACCAGUGGCGAAGGCGCUGUCCUGGACGAAGAUUGACGCUGAGGUGCGAAAGCGUGGGGAGCAAACAGGAUUAGAAACCCUGGUAGUCC